This is a long non-coding RNA of Peromyscus maniculatus bairdii (prairie deer mouse), 752 nucleotides long. RefSeq lists it as uncharacterized. The record is from RefSeq and is a predicted model, not a curated record. Lineage: Eukaryota; Metazoa; Chordata; Mammalia; Rodentia; Cricetidae.
GAGGAGGCUGAUCAAGACCUCCCAUCACUGUUGGGAAUUGAUACUUGAGAUGCAUACCUGGGGCUCUCUCACUGCACCAUCCUUGUGGAUCCCCUGCUUCUCCUUUUAAAAGAAUGAAGUGUCUACAGGGCUUGAAGAUUUUUACAUUGCAUAGUGCCUCUGCAUGCAACCACAACAGAGGCACACCACCAAGUGAUUAAGCCCUCACAACUCCAGAGCUCAUCUCUCCUCAACAGCACCAAGGUGAACAGAUGAUACCUCAAGUGUAGGAGAAGCUGGAUAUCUUCUGAGAUUCUUCCUUUCCAUUGAAGAAGCGAGACAAAGACGGGAGCUGACUGUAGCAGGAGGUCGGCUGCAGAAGCAGGAAGCUAACGACAGGGGAUUUUCUUCUUGCACCCUUGUUCACCCUCCUUUACCAUGCCCCCAUCCUCCAGCUAAGAACUCACCACAGCCGUCCUUACACAGGACACAGAGAAAUAAAGCUGGAGCUGAAAUGGAAGCUUCCUCCCUGCUGGAUAGCAUUCAUGGUACUGAAAGGUAUGAAAAAAAGAGGACAUUAUGAGGAGAAGAGUGCUGAAUGGGAGAAAUGGUGAACAAGAAGUUGAAAGCACCUAAUGACAAUACCUUCAAGAAGAGGUGCUGAGUGGACAUCUGUGUGCAGCAGUAGAGAAUGAUGAAGCGAACGCUGUGUGGACGUCGGUAGUAGGUACUUUAUCAUUUGAAGGUUGCAUAGGAGAGUAGCCAGAGACACG